RNAcentral lists this ribosomal RNA (532 nucleotides) under Salmonella enterica subsp. enterica serovar Mississippi. Its description in RNAcentral is "partial 23S ribosomal RNA". It matches the Rfam family "Bacterial large subunit ribosomal RNA", at positions 689 to 1220 of the family's 2925-position model. Lineage: Bacteria; Pseudomonadati; Pseudomonadota; Gammaproteobacteria; Enterobacterales; Enterobacteriaceae. The record is from RNAcentral.
UGGGCGUUAAGUUGCAGGGUAUAGACCCGAAACCCGGUGAUCUAGCCAUGGGCAGGUUGAAGGUUGGGUAACACUAACUGGAGGACCGAACCGACUAAUGUUGAAAAAUUAGCGGAUGACCUGUGGCUGGGGGUGAAAGGCCAAUCAAACCGGGAGAUAGCUGGUUCUCCCCGAAAGCUAUUUAGGUAGCGCCUCGUGAAUUCAUCUCCGGGGGUAGAGCACUGUUUCGGCUAGGGGGCCAUCCCGGCUUACCAACCCGAUGCAAACUGCGAAUACCGGAGAAUGUUAUCACGGGAGACACACGGCGGGUGCUAACGUCCGUCGUGAAGAGGGAAACAACCCAGACCGCCAGCUAAGGUCCCAAAGUCAUGGUUAAGUGGGAAACGAUGUGGGAAGGCCCAGACAGCCAGGAUGUUGGCUUAGAAGCAGCCAUCAUUUAAAGAAAGCGUAAUAGCUCACUGGUCGAGUCGGCCUGCGCGGAAGAUGUAACGGGGCUAAACCAUGCACCGAAGCUGCGGCAGCGACGCUUAUG